CGCGAUACAGGGUGACAGCCCCGUACACAAAAGCGCAUGUGCUGUGAGCUCGAUGAGUAGGGCGGGACACGUGGUAUCCUGUCUGAAUAUGGGGGGACCAUCCUCCAAGGCUAAAUACUCCUGACUGACCGAUAGUGAACCAGUACCGUGAGGGAAAGGCGAAAAGAACCCCGGCGAGGGGAGUGAAAAAGAACCUGAAACCGUGUACGUACAAGCAGUGGGAGCCCCACCACUAAGCCAGUGGUGAACUCCACAUACGCAUCCUUUGCUGAGGAUACGGUUAACGGAGCGAAAGCGACGUUCAACCGCAAAAGAAGCAGAGGGGGCUUAGUGGUGGGGUGACUGCGUACCUUUUGUAUAAUGGGUCAGCGACUUAUAUUCUGUAGCAAGGUUAACCGAAUAGGGGAGCCGGAGGGAAACCGAGUCUUAAUUGGGCGUUAAGUUGCAGGGUAUAGACCCGAAACCCGGUGAUCUAGCCAUGGGCAGGUUGAAGGUUGGGUAACACUAACUGGAGGACCGAACCGACUAAUGUUGAAAAAUUAGCGGAUGACCUGUGGCUGGGGGUGAAAGGCCAAUCAAACCGGGAGAUAGCUGGUUCUCCCCGAAAGCUAUUUAGGUAGCGCCUCGUGAACUCAUCUCCGGGGGUAGAGCACUGUUUCGGCUAGGGGGCCAUCCCGGCUUACCAACCCGAUGCAAACUGCGAAUACCGGAGAAUGUUAUCACGGGAGACACACGGCGGGUGCUAACGUCCGUCGUGAAGAGGGAAACAACCCAGACCGCCAGCUAAGGUCCCAAAGUCAUGGUUAAGUGGGAAACGAUGUGGGAAGGCCCAGACAGCCAGGAUGUUGGCUUAGAAGCAGCCAUCAUUUAAAGAAAGCGUAAUAGCUCACUGGUCGAGUCGGCCUGCGCGGAAGAUGUAACGGGGCUAAACCAUGCACCGAAGCUGCGGCAGCGACACUGUGUGUUGUUGGGUAGGGGAGCGUUCUGUAAGCCUGUGAAGGUGGCCUGUGAGGGUUGCUGGAGGUAUCAGAAGUGCGAAUGCUGACAUAAGUAACGAUAAAGCGGGUGAAAAGCCCGCUCGCCGGAAGACCAAGGGUUCCUGUCCAACGUUAAUCGGGGCAGGGUGAGUCGACCCCUAAGGCGAGGCCGAAAGGCGUAGUCGAUGGGAAACGGGUUAAUAUUCCCGUACUUGGUGUUACUGCGAAGGGGGGACGGAGAAGGCUAUGUUGGCCGGGCGACGGUUGUCCCGGUUUAAGCGUGUAGGUGUGUGUUCCAGGUAAAUCCGGUUCACUUUAACACUGAGGCGUGAUGACGAGGCACUACGGUGCUGAAGCAACAAAUGCCCUGCUUCCAGGAAAAGCCUCUAAGCAUCAGGUAACAUCAAAUCGUACCCC
This 1394-nucleotide ribosomal RNA is filed under the name Salmonella enterica subsp. enterica serovar Kingston. RNAcentral describes it as "partial 23S ribosomal RNA". It matches the Rfam family "Bacterial large subunit ribosomal RNA", at positions 353 to 1650 of the family's 2925-position model. The record is from RNAcentral. Lineage: Bacteria; Pseudomonadati; Pseudomonadota; Gammaproteobacteria; Enterobacterales; Enterobacteriaceae.